RNAcentral lists this ribosomal RNA (381 nucleotides) under uncultured eukaryote. Its description in RNAcentral is "SSU rRNA". It matches the Rfam family "Eukaryotic small subunit ribosomal RNA", at positions 587 to 972 of the family's 1831-position model. The record is from RNAcentral.
AGCUCCAAUAGCGUAUAUUAAAGUUGUUGCGGUUAAAAAGCUCGUAGUUGGAUUUCUGCUGAGGACGACCGGUCCGCCCUCUGGGUGAGUAUCUGGCUCGGCCUGGACAUAUUCUUGGAUAAUGUAGCUGCACUUGACUGUGUGGUGCGGUAUCCAGGACUUUUACUUAGAGGAAAUUAGAGAGUUUCAAGAAGGCACACGCCUUGAAUACAUUAGCAUGGAUAAUAAGACAGGACCUCGGUUCUAUUUGGUUGGUUCCUAGAGCUGAGGUAAUGAUUAAUAGGGAUAGUUUGGGGGCAUUCGUAUUUAACUGUCAGAGGUGAAAUUCUUGGAUUGGUUAAAGACGGACUACUGCGAAAGCAUUUGCAAAGGAUGUUUUCA